GAUGAACGCUGGCGGCGUGCUUAACACAUGCAAGUCGAACGAAGCGCCUUAUUUGAUUUUCUUCGGAACUGAAGAUUUGGUGACUGAGUGGCGGACGGGUGAGUAACGCGUGGGUAACCUGCCCUGUACAGGGGGAUAACAAUCAGAAAUGACUGCUAAUACCGCAUAAGACCACAGCACCGCAUGGUGCAGGGGUAAAAACUCCGGUGGUACAGGAUGGACCCGCGUCUGAUUAGCUGGUUGGUGAGGUAACGGCUCACCAAGGCGACGAUCAGUAGCCGGCUUGAGAGAGUGAACGGCCACAUUGGGACUGAGACACGGCCCAAACUCCUACGGGAGGCAGCAGUGGGGAAUAUUGCACAAUGGGGGGAACCCUGAUGCAGCGACGCCGCGUGAGUGAAGAAGUAUUUCGGUAUGUAAAGCUCUAUCAGCAGGGAAGAAAAUGACGG
This 449-nucleotide ribosomal RNA is filed under the name uncultured bacterium. RNAcentral describes it as "bacterial SSU rRNA". It matches the Rfam family "Bacterial small subunit ribosomal RNA", at positions 28 to 457 of the family's 1533-position model. The record is from RNAcentral.